GAGCCAAACAAGAUCCGUUUGACGUAGAUAAAACGAAUUAGUCUCAUGUAACCGGUGCCGUAGAUACGUUCGUGGGGAGCUGAUGCGCAUUAGCGUAGUGCGUAUUUGGAACGGAUCGCUCAUGUAACCCCGGUAUAUAAUGGGGUCUGUUAUUUGAUUUGAUUUUGUUAGGUGAAGAUGGAGAUGGCCUUGGAAAUAUGCGGAAGGCACUGUGACUAUAAAUAAUGGAAGGCUCGUUGCUGUCGGCGGUUCUGAAGUCAGCGGUUCGAUCCAGCUGAAGGACGUCACCUGGCAGGAAGUUGCAGAGUGUGGUGGCCAGUAUCAAGCCACAUUGUCCAGAAACCAUCACAUUAUCUCCAGGUCACUAGUCGCCGGUGCUCGAGCUGACGGCGUCGUUCAAGGGCUCCACGGUGACAAGCGCCGUCACCGUUGCCGCCGCCGCCGAGACCAUCCGACUCCUGGGCCCUGUUUCACGGCAGCGUACUGCAGCGCGCUACGCAGCGCUGCUGUGCUAGUGCGGCGAUUGAGACGAAUUCGGCUCGACGCUCCAGCGUUGCGAAACACCCGUGUCUAUGAAGGAUACGCCGAUACGUGCCCCAGCUUCAAGCCCUUCCCUCCCCCCCCCCCCGUCCCGUCCCAUCCCAACGGUGUUGGCCGAGAUUGGGGUUUGGUAUUUUAACGGGCUCUCCGAUGACGUCCCGCAAUUUGUGUUAUGUAAUUUGACGAUUAUGUCGUAGUCUCAUUCUGUCUCGAUAUGCUAAUAAAUGAUAAAUGGGACG
RNAcentral lists this long non-coding RNA (779 nucleotides) under Amphibalanus amphitrite. RNAcentral describes it as "uncharacterized LOC122374070". The record is from RNAcentral. Lineage: Eukaryota; Metazoa; Arthropoda; Thecostraca; Balanomorpha; Balanidae.